AAUAUUGGACAAUGGGCGUAAGCCUGAUCCAGCCAUGCCGCGUGAGUGAUGAAGGCCCUAGGGUUGUAAAGCUCUUUCAACGGUGAAGAUAAUGACGGUAACCGUAGAAGAAGCCCCGGCUAACUUUGUGCCAGCAGCCGCGUCAAUACGAAGGGGGCUGGCGUUGUUCGGAAUUACUGGGCGUAAAGCGCACGAUGGCGGAUUGGUCAGUUAGGGGUGAAAUCCCAGGGCUCAACCCUGGAACUGCCUUUAAUACUGCCGGUCUAGAGUUCGAGAGAGGUGAGUGGAAUUCCGAGUGUAGAGGUGAAAUUCGUAGAUAUUCGGAGGAACACCAGUGGCGAAGGCGGCUCACUGGCUCGAUACUGACGCUGAGGUGCGAAAGCGUGGGGAGCAAACA
Molecule: ribosomal RNA, 397 nt
Filed under: uncultured bacterium
Lineage: Bacteria
Description: partial 16S ribosomal RNA
Rfam family: Bacterial small subunit ribosomal RNA
Source: RNAcentral